GACGAACGCUGGCGGCGUGCCUAAUACAUGCAAGUAGAACGCACAGUUUAUACCGUAGCUUGCUACACCAUAAACUGUGAGUUGCUAACGGGUGAGUCACGCGUAGGUAACCUGCCUGGUAGCGGUGGAUAACUAUCGGUAACGAUAGCUAAUACCGCAUCAUAUUAAUUAUUCCAUUCUAAUUAAUUGAAAGAUGCAAUUGCAUCACUCCCAGAUGGCCCUGCGUUGUAUUACCUAGUAGGUGAGGUAACGGCGCACCUAGGCGACGAGACGUAGCCGCUCUGCGAGGGGGCGAGGCGAAGCUGGGAUGGAGACACGGCCCAGAACACUGCGGGAGGCAGCAGUAGGGAAUUCUUGGGAAUGGACGAAAGUGUGACCGUGCAACGCUGGGUGAGUGAAGAAGGUUUUCGGAUCGUGAAGCUCUUGAAUAAGAGAGGAACGGGUGUGAGAGUGGAAAGUGCAGACUGUGACGGUAUCGGAACAGAAAGGGACGGCUAACUACGUG
RNAcentral lists this ribosomal RNA (505 nucleotides) under uncultured bacterium. RNAcentral describes it as "partial 16S ribosomal RNA". It matches the Rfam family "Bacterial small subunit ribosomal RNA", at positions 28 to 507 of the family's 1533-position model. The record is from RNAcentral.